Molecule: ribosomal RNA, 365 nt
Filed under: Daboia mauritanica (Moorish viper)
Lineage: Eukaryota; Metazoa; Chordata; Lepidosauria; Squamata; Viperidae
Description: partial 12S ribosomal RNA
Source: RNAcentral
AAACUACGAGUUGUAACUUAAAACUUAAAAGACUUGACGGUGCUUCACCACAAUCUAGAGGAGCCUGUCUAUAACCGACAACCCACGAUUAACCCCUCCCCUUCUCGCCAACAGUCUAUAUACCACCGUCGUAAGCUUACCUUGUAAAAGAACCAAAAUGAGCUUAAUAGCAUAACACUAAAACGACAGGUCGAGGUGUAACCCAUGAAGGGGUAAAGAUGGGCUACAUUCUCUUACCAGAGAACACGAAUAACACUAUGAACACAGUGAUUGAAGGUGGAUUUAGCAGUAAGAUAGGAAUAAAAUACCUAACUGAACACACAGCAAUGAAGUGCGUACACACCGCCCGUCAUCCCUGCAACACA